RNAcentral lists this ribosomal RNA (263 nucleotides) under uncultured bacterium. RNAcentral's name for it is "partial 16S ribosomal RNA". It matches the Rfam family "Bacterial small subunit ribosomal RNA", at positions 524 to 786 of the family's 1533-position model. The record is from RNAcentral.
CACGUAGGAGGCGAGCGUUAUUCGGAUUUACUGGGCGUAAAGGGCGAGUAGGUGGCACAUCAAGUUGGAUGUGAAAGCUCCCGGCUUAACUGGGAGAGGACGUUCAAAACUGAUGAGCUUGAGUAUGAGAGAGGAAAAUGGAAUUCCGGGUGUAGUGGUGAAAUGCGUAGAUAUCCGGAGGAACACCAGUGGCGAAGGCGAUUUUCUGGCUCAAGACUGACACUCAGACGCGAAAGCUAGGGUAGCAAACGGGAUUAGAGACC